GCGGUGGAGCGUGUGGUUAAUCGAAGCAACGCGAAGAACCUUACCAGGUCUUGACAUCCCUGACAACCAAGAGAUUGGGCGUUCCCCUCGGGGGACAGGGUGACAGGUGGUGCAUGGUUGUCGUCAGCUCGUGUCGUGAGAUGUUGGGUUAAGUCCCGCAACGAGCGCAACCCUCGCCUCUAGUUGCCAGCAUUCGGUUGGGCACUCUAGAGGGACUGCCGGCGACAAGUCGGAGGAAGGUGGGAUGACGUCAAAUCAUCAUGCCCCUUAUGACCUGGGCUACACACGUGCUACAAUGGGCGGUACAAAGGGCUGCGACACAGCGAUGUGAUGCGAAUCCCGAAAAGCCUGUCUCAGUCCGGAUCGGAGUCUGCAACUCGACUCCGUGAAGUUGGAAUCGCUAGUAAUCGUGGAUCAGCAUGCCACGGUCGAAUACGUUCCCGGGCCUU
This 449-nucleotide ribosomal RNA is filed under the name uncultured Geobacillus sp. RNAcentral's name for it is "bacterial SSU rRNA". It matches the Rfam family "Bacterial small subunit ribosomal RNA", at positions 929 to 1382 of the family's 1533-position model. Lineage: Bacteria; Bacillati; Bacillota; Bacilli; Caryophanales; Anoxybacillaceae. The record is from RNAcentral.